CCAGGCCACGGCUGAGGGCUUUGGAGGUCCCAUCAUGUGUCCUUGUGAUGUGUAAAAAAGCAGGAGAGCCUGGAAGUGAAAAACAAAAGGCAUCUUGGCCACCAGCAGAGGAAAUAUCAGGUCUGUGAUGCUCUGGCUGGCCACGGUGCGCACAGAAGCCCACUGAUGGAGAGCUGACCCUGGCGAGCUGGCCAUCUGGUACCCACAGCCUGCUGCAGUAGGAGGAAAGGAGAGCCCAGCAGUGCUGCGGCCAAACAGCCGGCAGCAGUGGCAGCCAGGGAAAUGGCCUUAUUCAUUUGGCAAAAGCCUCUCCAUGCAUCCAUCCAUACGUCUGUUCCCUCACCCACCCCCUGUCUGAAUGAAAAAUCAGGGCCUUCCUGACACGAGGCAGUGCACGCCAGAUGCUGAGCAGUCAACGAGACAGAUGCUGCCAGAGGGACAAAAGAGAGUGAGGUUGGAGGGGAAACGCCUGCCUCCCCAAGGAGAGGAACAGCUGUCUUUGGGAACGGCAGCAUCAGCUUUCCCCUUCUCGACUGUGCAGAGGAAAGGCAGAGAGCAGCAGGAUGUGGCAUCCCAAGUCAGAAGCACUUGCAUGCUCCCUCCCAGCCUCCCUGCAUGCUCCCCUCUCCUUGUGAGGAUGCUGGCACUGAUCUCGAGCCCAUCGUGGUCCCAGGGGAUGACACCAUCUGCAGCAAGGCUGAUGAAUGAGGCUCUGUGCGCCAGCGGCGGGCGGCACAGACAGCGCCCGGCCCACUCAGCUGAGGCAGAGGUACCUGUGAGUGCAACUGGGAGAGGAAGUGAUCAGCCAGCAGAAAAGAAUGAAAUGUAAAGAGACACAGAGGUACCCCAUAAAAUACACAGAAGUCUUGCUUCACCUGUCUUUUAACUACGAGGAUGCAAUGGAAGAUACUUUGUAUUGCAGGAUUGCUGAGAAACUUCAGGAACACCCAAAACCUGAAAGGUUCACCAGUGCUGUGCUAAUAAGCCAAAGAAUUAUUAGUGGGGUUCAAAUGGGUGGUGUAGAUCAACAUCUGCAAAGGACGGGUGUUCUUGCAAGGCUCGUUCAUCAAAUGGAGCCAUGACAUUGCCACGGACCCCACAGGACUAUGUAAAGGACAGGGCUGCCCACUCUGCACUACCUGCAGACACUUGGAGCCAGAGCACAAAAACUAAAGGUCAGAGGCAAAUGGGCCUGCUUUCACUUUCUUCUCUAUGUCCUGUUUCCUACAGCAUCGUUGAGAUGCCACACAACUUGUUCAAAACAUCCAAAGGAGCACCCAUCCCCUACUCACCAAUGAUGUGGGUUUUAGGGUUCCUUAGCUUUAUGGAAAAUCACAGCAGAUUCAUUAAGGACAGGAUUUGACUUAGCCCAGUUAUUUAGAGAGCAACAUACGGAUUAACACAUGGACUUGAGAGAGGGAGAGAGAGACAGAAAAGGAGAUUGAUAAUCAUAAUUAAAAGUCUAUGAGACACUCAUAUACGAUGCAUUGUUACCAGGGUAGGUUGUAUUGUCUCUGCCAGUGGAACUUAAUAGCAAGUCAUUAGCCAUCAAAUCACUAAUACUGAUUUAAAAUCAAAUAAUGUCUCUUUGAGAUUUAUCUGUAAGAGCUUGGGUGUCUGAAAAAUAAUGUGCCACUUAAUCAUUAGACCAAUUAGGGGCUGCAGGUUAAAUAUGCUAUGCAAAGCAGAGACACAGUUUUCUACAAGACAAUAGGUCUGGUUCUGAUUUCAUUUACCGAGAGAGCCUCCACUAAAUCCGAUGUUUGAAGUCAGACCCAUGAGAGCAAAAUUUGGCCCAACCUCUCAGAUUUUUAUCUUUUUUUUUUCUUUUCACCUAGUGUAUGAAGAGAAGAAAACCUCAUUACAUGCGAUCGCCUGCUGUGAAACAUUAUUUUACAUGUAAAUGUAAGUUUUUCAAGGUGUGAGAAAGUAAGAAAAUCAAAUUGAAUUAAAAUAAAAAC
Molecule: long non-coding RNA, 1961 nt
Filed under: Anas platyrhynchos platyrhynchos (common mallard)
Lineage: Eukaryota; Metazoa; Chordata; Aves; Anseriformes; Anatidae
Description: lncRNA (ENSAPLG00000027304.1)
Source: RNAcentral